This 906-nucleotide long non-coding RNA is filed under the name Olea europaea subsp. europaea. Lineage: Eukaryota; Viridiplantae; Streptophyta; Magnoliopsida; Lamiales; Oleaceae. The record is from RNAcentral.
AAUUAGAAAUCCAAAGUUUUUUAAAGGAACCCAACAUGUCAGAAUGACUCAGUAAAACUCAUGGGUAAGUAAAGAUAUCGAUAGGAAUUGGAAUGAGUCUACUCAACUCAACAAUACUUGGAACAAGUUACAAGAACCACCACAACUCAGUGGUGUGCUAACAAUGAAAUCUUCACAGCUCAAUGAAAACACAAGAUUUUUUUAGAUCAAAAGCUUGUCACAAAGUUUUUCAAAGAAAAUUUCAAGAAUCCUCAAGAACAUAAGCCGAUCGUACAAGAUUUUUCAGAUCUCACCUAGAAAGACACAAUAUCUCAAAAGGAUCCAACUACCAGUUGAAUCGAAGGUAGAUCGCAAUAUUCAUUUAAGAAAAACACAAUUUGUUUUCACAAAGACUUCAGAAAUUUCAUGAUUUCCAAAAAAUAGCAAUGUUUGAAACUUGGGCUUCAAAAAUCAAACCUAAACCCCCUUUUGAAAACAACCUCUCUGAUACCACUUGUUGGUCCCAAAAGAGUGUGUCAAAACAUUCAGCAAUACCAAUCGAUUACAUAAAAGUAAAUCACAGAAAUUAAAGAAUCAACACAAAGGAAUUUUCACCGACUAAGGGUUCUGAAUGUUUAAGAGAUCUAAACUCUUGUGACCCGUUGAGCAUCUCCAAGUAGAUAUUGUUCUACAUCUACUAAAAUCAAUUAAGAGCAGUACGUACAAAUAUUCAUAGAAAUCAAAGCUUUCUUCAAUGUUUGCUCACGCUUCCCUAAGUUGAUUCACCACAGUAAACUUAUCAUCAACCUCUCAACAACGUAUACUCAGUACAUCAAAGAAUAUCACUCAAAGAUUACAAGAGAAGAUCACACAAUCGAGAGAGAAAACCAACAGAUGAAAACCCUUACCAAAACUCAUACAGUGGAG